This 482-nucleotide ribosomal RNA is filed under the name uncultured bacterium. Its description in RNAcentral is "partial 16S ribosomal RNA". It matches the Rfam family "Bacterial small subunit ribosomal RNA", at positions 30 to 507 of the family's 1533-position model. The record is from RNAcentral.
AUUGAACGCUGGCGGCAUGCCUUACACAUGCAAGUCGAACGGUAACAGGUCUUCGGAUGCUGACGAGUGGCGAACGGGUGAGUAAUACAUCGGAACGUGCCCAGACGUGGGGGAUAACGAGGCGAAAGCUUUGCUAAUACCGCAUACGAUCUAAGGAUGAAAGCAGGGGACCGCAAGGCCUUGCGCGUUUGGAGCGGCCGAUGGCAGAUUAGGUAGUUGGUAGGAUAAAAGCUUACCAAGCCGACGAUCUGUAGCUGGUCUGAGAGGACGACCAGCCACACUGGGACUGAGACACGGCCCAGACUCCUACGGGAGGCAGCAGUGGGGAAUUUUGGACAAUGGGCGAAAGCCUGAUCCAGCAAUGCCGCGUGCAGGAUGAAGGCCUUCGGGUUGUAAACUGCUUUUGUACGGAACGAAAAGGCUCUGGCUAAUACCUGGGGCACAUGACGGUACCGUAAGAAUAAGCACCGGCUAACUACGUG